This 376-nucleotide unclassified non-coding RNA is filed under the name uncultured Actinomycetes bacterium. Its description in RNAcentral is "uncultured actinobacterium contains 16S-23S intergenic spacer region". Lineage: Bacteria; Bacillati; Actinomycetota; Actinomycetes. The record is from RNAcentral.
UCCGAGUUGACCCCGGUAGUCUCCUAUGAGUCCCCACCAUCACGUGCUGGCAACAUAGAACGAGGGUUGCGCUCGUUGCGGGACUUAACCCAACAUCUCACGACACGAGCUGACGACAACCAUGCACCACCUGUGCAAGGCCCCGAAGGACACCGUGUUUCCACGGCUUUUCCCUGCAUGUCAAGCCUAGGUAAGGUUCUUCGCGUUGCUUCGAAUUAAACCACAUGCUCCGCUGCUUGUGCGGGCCCCCGUCAAUUCCUUUGAGUUUUAGCCUUGCGGCCGUACUCCCCAGGCGGGGCACUUAAUGCGUUAGCGUCGGCGCGGAAGGAGUCGACACCUCCCACACCUAGUGCCCAUCGUUUACGGCGUGGACUAC